This is a long non-coding RNA of Crotalus tigris (Tiger rattlesnake), 2549 nucleotides long. RefSeq lists it as uncharacterized. NCBI's taxonomy places the organism in Eukaryota, Metazoa, Chordata, Lepidosauria, Squamata, Viperidae. The transcript is spliced from 3 exons. The record is from RefSeq and is a predicted model, not a curated record.
CCCCUUCCUCGGACGAAAUACAACAUGUCCCGCUGCCGCUGGAAACGCCGCAGCUCCUGCUGCUGCUGCUUCGGAGUUUCAGCCGCGGGAUGACCUCGCCUGGGCGACGGAAAAGUUAGAAGCGGAGAGAGAGCGAGAAGAAGCAGACAAGCUACUUUCUUGUGGCUAAGAAACCUUUGGGAUGGAGAGGUUGUGAAUGAUGACAUGAGCAUAUUAUUAGUGUCAAAAAGGACAGAAAUGACUUGCUGCUGUCUUCUGGAAGAUACUUUUUCUUUACUUCCCAGUGUAGGCUUAUAGCUUUGGGAAAACAAAGACAAUCUAUCUCAUACAUGCAUGGUGUAAGUUAUUUAUUUAGUUUACAGUUCUUAUAAUCUACUCAAGCAAAACUGGAUGGGGCUACAAAAUGUUAAACUAGCAAUAAAUUAUAACAUAAUUCAAGUAGUAUUAAAUUAGUUAUUUCAAUCAAUCUUCCUUCAAAAUGGAUGCCAAUGAACCUAUGUAAAACUGAAGAUCCUGUGAAAUAAAAUGAUCUUUAAAGUUGUAAAAGCCAUGGAGGAGGGAGCUUCAAAUGUGUAAACUAGGGCAACACUGACAAUUGCUGCUAUAAGUUAAAAAUUAACUUGACACAGAGAGGACAAACAUUAUUAAAUGUCAAAAGAUGCCUUCAGAAAUAGAUAAAAAGGAGAUAAGUUGUUAAGACACAAAAAAAACCAUGAAAAAAAAUCCAUCAAAAGACAACAAAGGAAAGCUGGGUACAAAGUCCAAGGAAACCUUAAUGUCAUUGACAGUUGCCAAAUUUACAAAUCAAUAAAUCAAGGAUAUAGGGAUAAAAAGGGGCACCCCAGUUUUUUGAGUAGUUGAGUAUGGAUUUAGUGGCUCCUAUUUCUCUGGUUAGUCCCUGGCCAGCCUAGCUGGAUGACAGUUGGGUAAGUGGAAUGUGAACAAGAAAGAGUGAAUGUAACAAUGAUUGUAUGCCACACAUUAAAUCAAUAAAGUUUUACUGUAGCUUUAAAUUCAGAGCGUCUUUGUGUAUUCCAAUAACACUGAUUGCCUCAAUGCUUGGUUGAAAGUGGUUUGUGAGAAUUACCAAUUCUUUUCUCUGAUCUGCACAUGUAAUUAUGUCCUAGGAUGAGCAUGAGUUCUUUUUUAAAGGAGAAAUGUAUUGAUUCCAGUCAUCAAAAUAAUGUUAUGGAUAUGUGGCUAUGGAGAUAAAUGGAUAAUGAAGAUACAAGGGAAAUGGAAUUACUGCAAAUAUUUAGUUCCUUUUUUUAAAAAAAAUUGAUCUGCUGGAAAAGUUCUGUUGAAGACAUGGAUAUCCAUGUGACAGAAAUGGAGUUAAAUGCUAAAAAGUGCCUCCUAAUGUUACAAGGUAAAAUAUGACCUUUUAUACGUGCAUCACAAUAUGUAAGUGAAGUAUGUAAGGUAUGUAUGUGAACUAUGAAGUAUGCAUAAUACAAAGCUUGCAUUCUAACAUAAUGCAUGUUCAAUCAUUUUGAUGAAAUCUUAGUUUUCUAUAGACACUGCUAAUUGAUUACAGUAUGUUCUGAUGAAUGAUUUUCUAAGGACCAACCUGAUUUUUAUGGAAAGAAGAGUAUUUGAUCUAUGAUAAUCAAAUCAAGUCAUCUCUUAGAUUAAUUAAUUAAAAUUAAGUUUUAGCAUAUUAGUGGUAAUUACAGGAAGUGAUGGCAGUGGUUAAGAGUGGUUAAGUAGUGGUUAAGCAGAAUACAUUCUCAUUACUGAUUCUCUAGGAAACUUUCAGUAAAUUCAUUGAAUAUGUUUAAUACACAUAAAAGUUACAGUAAGAAUUUGUACUAUGGAGGUAGAUAUUGAAGUGCAGAAAUUGUUCUCAAGUAUUUCCAUUUUGAAAUUGGUUUCUGAAACAUCUGUCAACAAGAUUGCAACUUCUUAAAUACUGAGCCCUAGCAAACUGGUUUAUAAAUUAUUAUGUAAAUUUAGCCAAUUGUAAUUUAUUCCAUAACUUUGAUUAAACUAAUCAUUUAUUGCAUUGGGCACAUAAGGGCAACCUAAGACCCUUAAUGAGUUGGUGUAUAGUAAAGUGUUUUGAUUCAAUUGUUUAAUUAGUUUAUCAGAAUAUAAAAUAGGGAAAAUGAAAAUAAUGGAAAACUAGAGGAAAAAAAGGAAAAAGUAUAAGGUAAAAGGAGAAAAGAAAAGCAUUGACUUCCAACUUUUUUUAGCACAAGUAGGAGAUAAUAGCAUUAAAGUCUCAAUUUUUGCUUUUACACAGUAAUAUAUACUAGCUAUUUCUAUAACAACAAACCUAUUUAAUCCACAAAAUUGAAAAUCAAUGUUUCGUUCUUCCACCUCAAGCAUGAAACCCAGAAGUGGUUUCCAAGUGGAAACAAAAUUAGAAGUUGUUUUCUUUGAAUAAAGCAGUCAAUUUAAUCAUCUCUACAUUUUUUUCCUUAUGGGAAGUAAUAUAUAUUUAGCAGAGUAACUCUAGAUAAAAGACUUUAGUAGGCUAUAAUUUAGAAAGAAAAACAGUUGCCUAGAACUUUUCAAUAGGAGAAUAAAAAGGAAUAAAGCAGUGU